RNAcentral lists this long non-coding RNA (355 nucleotides) under Setaria italica (foxtail millet). RNAcentral describes it as "long non-coding RNA (SITA_LNC005401)". The record is from RNAcentral. Lineage: Eukaryota; Viridiplantae; Streptophyta; Magnoliopsida; Poales; Poaceae.
UAACAUGGCAAAGGCAUGCACUGGUGCUACUUAUUACUCGUGAUCUACUCAUUCCUUGGGGCUUUAUCACUUCUAGCAUUCCGGGUUUAUUGUCCGACGCUGCUGCUGGUGGAACCGGUGCAGGAAGGCCUGAGCCCUACUCAACUAGGUCAACUGCUAACAACAACGCUGUAAAACGGCAGCCAUCAGUCGGUCAUCAUCUUUAGGUCGGGAUCGUAGCGGCCUUGGUUGCCGGACAGUGACCAGCCAACCGGAGCAAAUGUGGAAUGCAGGGGAUGCCCCGUGUUAGCGAACGUGCUGCCGUUAGGUCCCAUGGGGCUCCCUGGAUCAUCAGAGUGCUCGCUUGAUGUUCCGU